CGGCGGACGGGUGAGUAACGCGUGGGUAACCUGCCUCAUACAGGGGGAUAACAGUUAGAAAUGACUGCUAAUACCGCAUAAGACCACGGUACCGCAUGGUACAGUGGUAAAAACUCCGGUGGUAUGAGAUGGACCCGCGUCUGAUUAGGUAGUCGGUGAGGUAACGGCCCACCAAGCCGACGAUCAGUAGCCGACCUGAGAGGGUGACCGGCCACAUUGGGACUGAGACACGGCCCAG
This 238-nucleotide ribosomal RNA is filed under the name uncultured bacterium. Its description in RNAcentral is "partial 16S ribosomal RNA". It matches the Rfam family "Bacterial small subunit ribosomal RNA", at positions 96 to 334 of the family's 1533-position model. The record is from RNAcentral.